Molecule: long non-coding RNA, 450 nt
Organism: Hemicordylus capensis (graceful crag lizard)
Lineage: Eukaryota; Metazoa; Chordata; Lepidosauria; Squamata; Cordylidae
Exons: 4
Source: RefSeq, a predicted model, not a curated record
CCAAUUCCAGACUGCCAUGCCGCUUGCUGUAGUGGCAGUUGUGUGGGCAUGGCGAAGCCCAGAGGGAGCCCUUCUUCUGUGGAGGAAGCCCUGAGCCCCACUAGGGACGGCCCUGAGAAUACAAGGACAUUGAAGGAAACAGCCUUGCACCAGAAAUUCAAAGGGAAAGGAAGAAAGGAAAGACUAUUUCAGGUCAUCAACAGGAACACAGGCAGAGCCAUCACUAAAUCCCUACAAGACUUCUUGGAAUCCUAUUCGAUCCAAUAGCCUUUCCGGGUGGACUAUUCUAAUAGUCCCCUCAACACUGCGGAGGCGGGAUGUGAUUUCCCUGCAGCAAUGGUAGUCCUAGAAAAGAAUAUAAUAUCCAAUAAAUCCUGUUCCUUUCCAAGGACUGCAGGAAAAUGAGGAAAAAUCUAUCUCCACCAGGAGCAAAGAUGAAAUACAGCCUGG